This 1104-nucleotide long non-coding RNA is filed under the name Homo sapiens (human). RNAcentral's name for it is "HSALNT0193349". Lineage: Eukaryota; Metazoa; Chordata; Mammalia; Primates; Hominidae. The record is from RNAcentral.
CCCGGCCCGUCAGCAGAAUUUUAAAGAAAAUCAAGAAAUCACAUAAGGUUUUGACCUUUUAAUAGAAAAGACUGGCGUAGACAGGCAACAGUGGCAGAUGCGGCAGAAACACUCUGCAGUUACCUUACACAAUUGCUUUACCACAUUCCACCUAAGCAGUUGAGGCACAAACUUUAUCACCACCAUUUUACAGGUUAUGAAGAGUGAGUUUUGUAAAGUUGCAUGAGUUUUGCCAAACCACUUAAAUGAGUUGACAAUGAGCCAUCCAUCCCGCUAAGAUUACUAAUCUUGUUUACACAAAGAAGAUCACAGUUGUGACAAGAAAAAACAAGCUUUCACAUUUCAAGUCUGCAAUAUUAACUUUACAGAAUCCUCUCAAUUACAAAUGCAUUCGAAGAUGAUCUCCUUUUCUUCAUAGUUCUGUUAACUAGCAUUACAGCUAUCCAAGAAGAAAUGUCUACCUGUGGGUAAGCACAUUUCUUCAAUGUUUAUUCCAAAUGGAGUUUCUGGUUAUUUUCACAGCAAACUGUUACGAAACUUAUACACAAAGUGCAAAAACAAGAGAAUUGUAAGAUUGAGAUGAGUGCAUGAGGUAUUAUUCCACCAAAUAUAUUCAAUCUGUAAAAACUCAAAUCAUCCUUCCAAAAUGAUUAACAGAUGCUAAAGGAAAAAGGGAAAGCGGGCAAAUAAACCAGAGACUCAUUGCUUCACUUCUGGGGCAAUCGAUUACUACUUCAAAUUAUGAGUGAAGACCAAAAUCCUGCACAAAGGGCCGCGACACAACCCCGUCACUAUUGCUACUAUUUCCAUCCAGUUGGUCUCUCGAUCUUGGAAGUGGCAGGCCAGAAUCUGAGCCCGGCUCUCCCUCCGUGAACUUUACACAGAGGCUGACACCCAAAUCCCCAGUUCUCGGACAAGCGAGUAAGUAGUUGGCGGAGCAAAGAACAACUCCAGGUGCCUCCUGCCAGAACAGAUGCCAGCGUGGAGGAGGUGCUUUGUUAAAUGGCACUUCAAUCAGCCCUGGGGAGAACGGGUUACAGAGCCUCACAUCCAGCCUCGACGAUUCAACAGCCCGGGAGGGCAAAGCCAAAAUCAGCAACAGCA